UAAUAAGUAGUUUUAUGGCACUUUUUAAAUCCAUAUCCACCUUGUGUGCAAUGUCAGUCGAUCUUCUUCAUGGAGAUCUGACCAAACAUCAACCUUUAUCUUUUAACAUCUUUGUCUGAAAAAUAUUAUGAAUAAACAAUUCAAAAUA
RNAcentral lists this unclassified non-coding RNA (148 nucleotides) under soil metagenome. RNAcentral describes it as "partial internal transcribed spacer 1". The record is from RNAcentral.